GCUUGAGCACGUAGGUGGGUUUGUAAGUCAGGUGUGAAAGCCUUCUGUUCAACGGGGGAAUUGCAUCUGAAACUACGAAUCUUGAGUGUAGGAGGGGAGAAUGGAACUUCUGGUGGAGCGGUGAAAUGCGUAGAUAUCAGAAGGAACGCCGGCGGCGAAAGCGAUUCUCUGGCCUAUUACUGACACUCAGUGUGCGAAAGCUAGGGGAGCAAACGGGAUUAGAUACCCCGGUAGUCCUAGCCGUAAACGAUGGGCACUAAGUAGUGGGAAUUACCGAUGUUCUCUCUGCCGUAGCUAACGCAUUAAGUGCCCCGCCUGGGGAGUACGGCCGCAAGGCUAAAACUCAAAAGAAUUGACGGGGGCUCGCACAAGCGGUGGAGCAUGUGGCUUAAUUCGAUGUAACGCGAAAAACCUUACCGGGGCUUGACAUGUUAGAAGUAGGAACCUGAAAGGGUAACGAACGGUAUCCAGUCCGUAGCUAUCACAGGUGUUGCAUGGCUGUCGUCAGCUCGUGUCGUGAGACGUUGGGUUAAGUCCCCUAACGAGCGAAACCCUUGUUUUUAGUUACCAGCGGGUUAUGCCGGGUACUCUAGAAAGACUGCCGUCGUCAAGACGGAGGAAGGUGGGGAUGACGUCAAGUCAUCAUGGCCCUUAUGCCCCGGGCUGCACACGUGCUACAAUGGUCGGUACAAACGGAAGCGAAGCCGAGAGGUGAAGCGAAUCCAAGC
RNAcentral lists this ribosomal RNA (728 nucleotides) under uncultured Planctomycetota bacterium. RNAcentral describes it as "bacterial SSU rRNA". It matches the Rfam family "Bacterial small subunit ribosomal RNA", at positions 558 to 1278 of the family's 1533-position model. The record is from RNAcentral. Lineage: Bacteria; Pseudomonadati; Planctomycetota.